Molecule: long non-coding RNA, 1275 nt
Filed under: Cicer arietinum (chickpea)
Lineage: Eukaryota; Viridiplantae; Streptophyta; Magnoliopsida; Fabales; Fabaceae
Description: long non-coding RNA (CARI_LNC001529)
Source: RNAcentral
CUCAUAUUGAGAUCAACACUAAUGAAUAAGAGUUAAAUAGGCUCUAAGAUACAUACAAAAAUUUCAUAAGCAAAAUAUAUGUGUUAAAUGACUAAUCUAAUCACACGAUGACAAGAUAUUUAUAAGGUUGAGAGGAUGCUAAAUUUGUUGAGAGGAUGCUGAAUUUGGUGAUAACAAUCACAAUCCCCUUGCUCAAAAUAGAACACUAACAAAUUGAAUUCAUCUUAGACAUUUCAAAAAACAAUGAAGUACAAACCUGAAACAAAUUAAAAAUUAAUGACAUAACGUAAGUAAAGAAAAAGAACAUGAACAAAAUGAAUACACUAUCAAAAGAUAAUAUAUCUCAACUUGAGCAAUGAUGGAGUGAACAAAACACAAAGAUGACACGGUGGCUUUCGAGGGGGGCGUUUGGAGAUCGAUUUUCCAAGUAAGGUUGCAACCAUAAAAGUGAGAUUUAUAGGCACUGGAUGAGGUGAAAGACGAUCAACUAAAGAGGGACUUGUAAAGGUGCAAUGCCAUUGGAAUCUUUGACAAAUGAAAACUGAUGGCCUUUCUUGAUCACCAUCCUUGUUUCCGGACUCAUUUUGAGGAGAGGUAGCCAUGCCAACAAACACAAGGAUGAGAUUAGUAAAAAAAACCAAUAUAAAUCAAAUUAUGAGGCGGUGAAGGGGAUGCAUAUAUAGGAAAAUAAGACGCUGGGAAAGUUCACAUAUAGAAACCAAUAAACAUAGACUUUGUUAAGUCAAAUUAUUUCUCCCUUUAAAACAAAUUAUAAGUAACAAUAGAUUAGAUGACGUAUGUUAAACCACUCUUGUGUGUUUAGGAGAGCUCUCAAAGGAAGAAGCUCUUUUACGUUCUAGUGUCUCUUUCCAUAGAUUGUAAAUGUAAUGUGGGUGUUGGUUUUAUUCGACAAGUUUUGUUAUGUGUUUGAGGAAUUGUAUUAGUACUUUUAUUUAUACUAGGAUUUAGUGUUUCCCCUAUUAUCUCCCAUGCCGGUUAUUUUAAAUGAUCUUCAAUGAAUGAUGGGAGCAUGUUAUUCUAACAUUAUUUUAGAAGUUGAUUUCCAACCGGUGUCUUUUUGUAGAACCCAUAUAGUUGAUAUGUGGUUUCAAAAGCUGUGAUAUGUAAUUGUCGUUCCUCAACUUAAGUAUCAUGUGUGGAAGAUAUUAGUGUAGUUGUUAGGAUAAAUGAUUGAUGUGGUAAUGUCAUAUUGGUUGCUACUUUCUCAAAGUAAAUUGUUUAUCGUUGUUCAAAUCUUAGUUGACUUAGAUCUUG